GCCGCCAUGACAAGCAGCAUGUGAAGAUGCUGUGGGCUGUCGGACUGCUGGGGUUUGGCGGGACCCAGAGAGAAAACUCUCCAGCUACACCCUUCCAUAGCAUGCUUGAUGAAAUGAGGCAUGGGAAGGAGAAGAGCACCCCCCCCCCCGGUCAGCCAGGGACCCACCUUGGCUUCACGCCCAUGCAGUACUUCAAAGUGCUCCUCACGAAGAGUGCUGCCGCUGAUGCUCACCCCAACUUCCUUCUUCACCUCAAUGCCAGCUUGACUCUUGUCAUUUGUGACCAUGGAAUUAGACAUCAGGAACAAACAUAAGAGUUCAUACAAGACACUGGGCAAUUAUCUUACUGCUGGUGUUCUACUUUGCUGGAACUAAAGUUUUCUGAGACAAAAUUCACACCCCGGAAAAAUCCAGAUAUCUUGCAAAAGUUUUCAGGAAACAUUUCUGAGGAACUCCUGCUUCCAGCACAUUAUCUUCAGGAUGAACACAUUUUUUGUCUAAUUUUUCCUGCCUGCAAACCAGUGCAUCUUCUAAAAAUAGCUCUCUCCUAAGAUAAACAAUGCAUAAUUAUGCAUUUAUCUAAUAACAGGCAUUUACAAUUUGUAAUCUAAUCCCAGGAAGGUGGAAAAUCAAAGUGUAUUUUGAAAUGAAAAGUCUUUUAUUUCUUAUCCUUUUUAAUAUUUAUCUCAUACCAUAUAAUUGGAUUGUGGGUUGAAUUAAAAUGCAUAAUGGGAUUUGGAAUCUUCUGAAAAACAAUUCUAUAGCUUCAUUGAAAAUUUAUAAAUUGUUGGCGUUAAGUGGCCUAGAUGGGUCUGAUAUUCUUAUUGUCUAAGAAGAGGAAUUUCGUUUCUUUGAGCAUUGGCUCUUCAGAGGCCUAGGGCCGAAGGCAUUCAUCUGAAAUGUCAUGCUCCCAAAAUAAACCCUCAGCUUGACGGACAGCAGACAAGUGUCUGCCACUGUCACCCUGCUACAGAUACCCCAGCAGUUGAUUCCCUUAAAAAGUCAUCGGGUGCAGCUGAUGCCACAUGGGUUUUCUCAGAGCUAUUCUUGGUCAGCCUCGCUUUAUCACAGAGUCACAUAACCUUGUGCAUUCCCAACAGACACAUUUACUAAGGAAGCGAACAUUUCUUCUGCCCCCAUUUUAGACCCCGCGGUCUAGGAUAUCAAGCGCAUGUUAAAAAUUUGAAUUGUUGACUACGCUGGUUAGGUUUAAGCACUUGAUGUAUUUAUUUACUUAAAGAAAGCUUACAUUUCAAAACCAAAUUUAAAACGCAGAUUCAUACUUUAGGUCAGCGAGAGCAAACCCUCAACAGCAGGCAUUCAUCGCUCACAUUGGCAACUGGAAACCAAUCAGAAACAGCUCUAGGGUUCAAACACGCUGGUUCU
Peromyscus maniculatus bairdii (prairie deer mouse) is the source of this 1386-nucleotide non-coding RNA. Lineage: Eukaryota; Metazoa; Chordata; Mammalia; Rodentia; Cricetidae. The record is from RefSeq and is a predicted model, not a curated record.